GACGAACGCUGGCGGCGUGCUUAACACAUGCAAGUCGAACGGAAAGGCCCUGCUUUUGUGGGGUGCUCGAGUGGCGAACGGGUGAGUAACACGUGAGUAACCUGCCCUUGACUUUGGGAUAACUUCAGGAAACUGGGGCUAAUAUCGGAUAGGAGCUCCUGCUGCAUGGUGGGGGUUGGAAAGUUUCGGCGGUUGGGGAUGGACUCGCGGCUUAUCAGCUUGUUGGUGGGGUAGUGGCUUACCAAGGCUUUGACGGGUAGCCGGCCUGAGAGGGUGACCGGCCACAUUGGGACUGAGAGACGGCCCAGACUCCUACGGUAGGCAGCAGUGGGGAAUAUUGCACAAUGGGCGGAAGCCUGAUGCAGAGACGCUGCGUGCGGGAUGACGGCCUUCGGGUUGUAAACCGCUUUCGCCUGUGACGAAGCGGGAGUGACGGUAAUGGGUAAAGAAGCACCGGCUAACUACGUG
Molecule: ribosomal RNA, 468 nt
Filed under: uncultured bacterium
Lineage: Bacteria
Description: partial 16S ribosomal RNA
Rfam family: Bacterial small subunit ribosomal RNA
Source: RNAcentral